Molecule: long non-coding RNA, 446 nt
Filed under: Homo sapiens (human)
Lineage: Eukaryota; Metazoa; Chordata; Mammalia; Primates; Hominidae
Description: HSALNT0105489
Source: RNAcentral
AUCCUAGUGACCAUGCAGUAAGCAAAGUUAGGCAUGCUGUAUCUGUACAGUUGUCUCGUAAAUAAAGGACACAGUUUUCUUGCAGCUGUAUUCCAGUAGGCAGGUAACUGAAAAACAGACCUAAGGACAUAGCUCUCUGCUCCUAGACUUCUGCCUGGUGUGCCAAAGAGAUUAACAUCCUGCCACCAGGAGAAACCAUCCUGGCUGGGCCCAGGGCAAGAGGGCUGGUAUAGCUCAGGGUAGGGCUGGGCACUUUUUGCAGCCCGGAUGCUUGGAGAGAAGCACAGGGGUGGAACAGUGGCCAGCUGGGGGCAGUGCUGAGGAAGGGCUUGCCCAGUAGCACUGGGCUGGAUGUCAGCAGUGGGGUGGGCCCUGGCUUGACUCGGUCUCCAGUGUGGCUCUGAAUGAGUGGGGAGAGCUGGAGAGGCAGGCUUGAGUUUCCUGCU